This is a small nuclear RNA of Malurus cyaneus samueli, 106 nucleotides long. The record is from Ensembl. Lineage: Eukaryota; Metazoa; Chordata; Aves; Passeriformes; Maluridae.
AUGCUUACUGUGGCAGCACAUGUACUAAAACAGGAACAAUACAGAGAAGUCAGCAUGACCCCUGUGCAAGGAUGACACCCGAAUCUGUGAAGCAUUCCAUAACUUU